RNAcentral lists this ribosomal RNA (253 nucleotides) under uncultured prokaryote. RNAcentral's name for it is "partial 16S ribosomal RNA". It matches the Rfam family "Bacterial small subunit ribosomal RNA", at positions 524 to 776 of the family's 1533-position model. The record is from RNAcentral.
UACGAGGGGUGCGAGCGUUGCUCGGAAUUAUUGGGCGUAAAGGGUAGGUAGGUUGUCUUAUUUGUCUGGGGUGAAAGCCUUGAGCUUAACUCAAGAAGUGCCCCGGAAACGGUAAGACUAGAGUCUUGGAGAGGCUAGGGGAAUUCCCGGUGUAGCGGUGAAAUGCGUAGAGAUCGGGAGGAACACCAGAGGCGAAGGCGCCUAGCUGGACAAGCACUGACACUCAACUACGAAAGCGUGGGGAGCAAACAGG